UUGCAGAUCGACAGCAAGGUCAGCUCGAUGGGGAUUAGAGUAGUUAGCAUCCUUGCCUCACUUUCAAGCAGGGAGGCGGGCGAACGGGAGAGCGACACUUGGUCAAUCUUGCCCUUAACUCUGGGACAAGCCCUGGAAACGGGGUCUAAUACCGGAUACGACCGCUGACCGUAUGGUUGGGGGUGGAAAGCUCCGGCGGUGAAGGAUGAGCCCGCGUCCUAUUAGNUUGUUGGUGGGGGGAUGGCCUACCAAGGCGACGACGGGUAGCCGGCCUGAGAGGGCGACCNCCCACACUGGGACUGANACACNGGGCUANACUUCCUACNNGCAGGCACCACUUGGGGAAUAUUGCACAGUUCCCAAAGUCUGAUGCAUUUGACCCCCCGGUGAGGGAUGACGCGCUUCGAAUUUGAUACCUCUUUCACGCCGGAAGAAUCACUAGUGACCGGUACACUGCCAGAAAAAGCACCCGGCCUAACUAGCGUUGCCAACAGUUCCGCMACCAAUAUCUCCAAGNCCGNAACAGGCAGUAUUACCAGAAAUUAAUUGGSUCCCGUAKAAAAAGCUAAC
This 570-nucleotide ribosomal RNA is filed under the name bacterium A29. RNAcentral's name for it is "partial 16S ribosomal RNA". The stretch from base 30 to 383 matches the Rfam family "Bacterial small subunit ribosomal RNA", at positions 41 to 398 of the family's 1533-position model. The record is from RNAcentral.